GAUGAAGAACGUAGCGAAAUGCGAUAAGUAAUGUGAAUUGCAGAAUUCAGUGAAUCAUCGAAUCUUUGAACGCACAUUGCGCCCGCCAGUAUUCUGGCGGGCAUGCCUGUUCGAGCGUCAUUUCAACCAUCAAGCCCCAGGCUUGUGUUGGGGACCUGCGGCUGCCGCAGGCCCUGAAAACCAGUGGCGGGCUCGCUGUCACACCGAGUGCAGUAGUUUACUCUUCGCUCAGGGCGUGUGGCGGGUGCUAGCCGUGAAACCCCCAACUUCUCAAGGUUGACCUCGGAUCAGGUAGGAAUACCCGCUGAACUUAAGCAUAUCAAUAAGCGGAGGA
RNAcentral lists this unclassified non-coding RNA (334 nucleotides) under soil metagenome. RNAcentral's name for it is "partial contains 5.8S ribosomal RNA, internal transcribed spacer 2, and large subunit ribosomal RNA". The stretch from base 1 to 120 matches the Rfam family "5.8S ribosomal RNA", at positions 35 to 154 of the family's 154-position model. The record is from RNAcentral.